This is a long non-coding RNA of Chelmon rostratus (copperband butterflyfish), 823 nucleotides long. RefSeq lists it as uncharacterized. Lineage: Eukaryota; Metazoa; Chordata; Actinopteri; Chaetodontiformes; Chaetodontidae. The record is from RefSeq and is a predicted model, not a curated record. The transcript has 3 exons.
UGGGAUUGUCGUAGACGGCCAACAGGUGUGCGUGGACCACUUUCCUCAGCAGCCGUCUCAGGCCGCAGGACGCUUGUCUAUCCAAGGAAGUGGUUCCUCCUUCAUUCAGAAGAUUAUGGACUAUUCAAAACGAUCAAAGCACCUCAGAUUUAUCAUUUUUCCUGACGCCAUGCAGUUUUUGAAUUUGUCACUAAAUAUCGGAGGGUGAGCAGAGGAAGAUGCAGGUCGGGAGGUUACAGCAAACCAGCAACAUCUGCAGCAUGAUGGAGUGAUGACACUGAAGUCCCACUGAGCAAAAACAGGACUCCAUCCCAUAAAAAUCGUGGAAAAUCACGGACAUUGCACUGUUCUAACUUCAGUGAAGCACGUACUUCAGUGAGGAAGUGGAGAGCAAUUUGUCUGCAUGGUUUAACCCUUUAACCCCGACAGAGGACAACAACACGGGUUUACUGCAUAAAUAGGGAAUAUAACUUCAAAUUAACUCCGAAACACUUGAAUUGUCAUGCUUUGCACCUUCUGGACCAAACUUCAUGGACUUUGUGGAUGAGAACUGUGCAUGUUUGACAUGCAAAGAGACAUUUGGAUGGACAUUUACAUAAAUAUGGAAUGGAUUGAGCCAACAUGCUCCCCGUCGAAGAACAUCCAAGAGUUGCACAUCCGUUCUGCCCGGCUCGUUCAGGAACACAACAAAGAAGGGAGGUCCACGCAGCAGCCAUUUAAGACGUCCCUGCCUGUUGAUGCUUCAGAGAGAUCAUCUGUCAGUCAAACAAUGUGUUUUUGUUUGGAUCCUCUGCAGUAACGCGCUGUGAGACCUCAGGCCAGG